RNAcentral lists this transfer RNA (83 nucleotides) under Microcaldota archaeon. Its description in RNAcentral is "tRNA-Ser". It matches the Rfam family "tRNA". Rfam says of the family: Transfer RNA (tRNA) molecules are approximately 80 nucleotides in length. Their secondary structure includes four short double-helical elements and three loops (D, anti-codon, and T loops). Lineage: Archaea; Nanobdellati; Microcaldota. The record is from RNAcentral.
GCCGGAGUGGCAGAGUGGUUAUUGCGCUGGUCUUGAAAACCAGUGUCCGCAAGGACUCGGGAGUUCGAAUCUCUCCUCCGGCG